AUGAAGGUGACAGUAAAUAUUCAGCAGUCUCUCUUUAAUGCAGGUGGUGAGAUGGUUGGAGCAGCCCCCAGACAGGAGGUGACUGUUUCCCCAGGAGCCCCCUUUGAGAUGAGGCUGGGCAGGGAAUGCAGCAGGGCCCCACAGCAGCUUGGGGGUGUCAUCUCCAGCAGUCCCUGUGAGCUCAGGUCUCAAGAGCUGGGGAUUUGGGCUGUCCUUUGCUCCCAUGCCAGCAGGGCCCUCUUGCUGCUCAGAUGGUGUCACCUUUUUAUGGGAACUGCACUUGACCACCUUGACAGUCUGGCCACCCUUGGGACCCAGGCUGGAGAAAGAGAUGGAAGUAUACCAGCAAUCCCUGAAGGACAGCUGCUGGGGGAUUCACAUUUCAAUAGAGAGGAGAAAGGUGUGCAGUGCCAUAACAUUGUUCCCACAUAUGGACACAAGUCUUCUGUAUUCAGCCAAGCACAAAUCCCUGGACAUGGGCUGGGAAGUGAAAAAGCACCUGCUUUAUAG
Molecule: long non-coding RNA, 510 nt
Filed under: Parus major (Great Tit)
Lineage: Eukaryota; Metazoa; Chordata; Aves; Passeriformes; Paridae
Description: lncRNA (ENSPMJG00000012372.1)
Source: RNAcentral